This 483-nucleotide ribosomal RNA is filed under the name uncultured bacterium. RNAcentral describes it as "partial 16S ribosomal RNA". It matches the Rfam family "Bacterial small subunit ribosomal RNA", at positions 30 to 507 of the family's 1533-position model. The record is from RNAcentral.
UUGCACGCUGGCGGCAGGCCUCACCCCUGCAAGUCGAGCGGAUGAAGGGGGCUUGCUCCUGGAUUCAGCGGCGGACGGGUGAGUAAUGCCUAGGAAUCUGCCUGGUAGUGGGGGAUAACGUCCGGAAACGGGCGCUAAUACCGCAUACGUCCUGAGGGAGAAAGUGGGGGAUCUUCGGACCUCACGCUAUCAGAUGAGCCUAGGUCGGAUUAGCUAGUUGGUGGGGUAAAGGCCUACCAAGGCGACGAUCCGUAACUGGUCUGAGAGGAUGAUCAGUCACACUGGAACUGAGACGCGGUCCAGACUCCUACGGGAGGCAGCAGUGGGGAAUAUUGGACAAUGGGCGAAAGCCUGAUCCAGCCAUGCCGCGUGUGUGAAGAAGGUCUUCGGAUUGUAAAGCACUUUAAGUUGGGAGGAAGGGCAGUAAGUUAAUACCUUGCUGUUUUGACGUUACCAACAGAAUAAGCACCGGCUAACUUCGUG